AGUGAACGCUGGCGGUAGGCCUAACACAUGCAAGUCGAACGGCAGCACAGUAAGAGCUUGCUCUUACGGGUGGCGAGUGGCGGACGGGUGAGGAAUACAUCGGAAUCUACUUUUUCGUGGGGGAUAACGUAGGGAAACUUACGCUAAUACCGCAUACGACCUACGGGUGAAAGCAGGGGAUCUUCGGACCUUGCGCGAUUGAAUGAGCCGAUGUCGGAUUAGCUAGUUGGCGGGGUAAAGGCCCACCAAGGCGACGAUCCGUAGCUGGUCUGAGAGGAUGAUCAGCCACACUGGAACUGAGACACGGUCCAGACUCCUACGGGAGGCAGCAGUGGGGAAUAUUGGACAAUGGGCGCAAGCCUGAUCCAGCCAUACCGCGUGGGUGAAGAAGGCCUUCGGGUUGUAAAGCCCUUCUGUUGGGAAAGAAAAGCAGCAGGUUAAUACCCCGCUGUUCUGACGGUACCCAAAGAAUAAGCACCGGCUACUUCGUG
RNAcentral lists this ribosomal RNA (491 nucleotides) under uncultured bacterium. RNAcentral describes it as "partial 16S ribosomal RNA". It matches the Rfam family "Bacterial small subunit ribosomal RNA", at positions 29 to 507 of the family's 1533-position model. The record is from RNAcentral.